GGCAGCAAAGCGGCAACAGAAACAGGUGUAGCCGCAUAGUACAGUCCACGCACGCUAUAGUAGAGCGAAGCGCACAGCGGCGCGAGUGUGUUAAGGACUUUCCAGAUUGAAUGCGUUGCGACUGUGUUGUGUCUGUUCCGUGUGAUGUGGUGGCGCUACAUGUCCGCAACAUAACUACUGUGGAGUUCACGAUCUACCAACGUCCAAUACUUCGAUGCCUAAAGCUAUGGAUGUCAUUAUGGAGGUUAUUUUCUCAGCUCCAAAACUCCAAAAUGUGCUCGACGAAAUCUCUCUCAGCCAUACGUGAGUUGCGUUUGUCCGAGAGAGACAGAAAAAUGGGCGCCCGAGUUUCGGAAUACGCCUGUUAUUUGCACAGUACAAUGUGCAUUAUCAACAAGCCUUUGUAGGGAGCCAAGAGAAUCACAUGGUCGGUCUGAAUAUGGGAUUAAAAAGUUCCAAAAUUCUGAUACAUGGAUAGCAGUUGGCCACAAUAUACGAUACACACCUGACUGGUGCAAAUAGUAAUCGGAAACAUCCAUGUUGUUCGUGAGCAAGUUCAACUCUUCAUGGAUGCAAAUAAUUGGAUUUUGUGAUGGUGCCGGUUUACUUUUAAUCUCUG
Long non-coding RNA from Nasonia vitripennis (jewel wasp), 619 nucleotides. RefSeq lists it as uncharacterized. NCBI's taxonomy places the organism in Eukaryota, Metazoa, Arthropoda, Insecta, Hymenoptera, Pteromalidae. The record is from RefSeq and is a predicted model, not a curated record. The transcript is spliced from 3 exons.